UACGAAGGGGGCUAGCGUUGCUCGGAAUUACUGGGCGUAAAGGGAGCGUAGGCGGAUAGUUUAGUCAGAGGUGAAAGCCCAGGGCUCAACCUUGGAAUUGCCUUUGAUACUGGCUAUCUUGAGUAUGGGAGAGGUGUGUGGAACUCCGAGUGUAGAGGUGAAAUUCGUAGAUAUUCGGAAGAACACCAGUGGCGAAGGCGGCACACUGGCCCAUUACUGACGCUGAGGCUCGAAAGCGUGGGGAGCAAACAGG
RNAcentral lists this ribosomal RNA (253 nucleotides) under uncultured bacterium. RNAcentral describes it as "partial 16S ribosomal RNA". It matches the Rfam family "Bacterial small subunit ribosomal RNA", at positions 524 to 776 of the family's 1533-position model. The record is from RNAcentral.